AUACCCGCUCCGCGAGUGGUGGGGACUUUUACUGGGCUUAAAGCGCCCGUAGCCGGCUGGGUGUGUCCUCCGUUAAAUCCACAGGCCUAACCUGUGGGCUGCGGGGGAUACUACCCGGCUUGGGGGUGGGAGAGGGCGGCGGUAUUCCCGGGGUAGGGGUAAAAUCCACUGAUCCCGGGAGGACCACCAGUGGCGAAGGCGGCCGCCCAGAACACGCCCGACGGUGAGGGGCGAAAGCUGGGGGAGCAAACGGAAUUAGAAACCCUGGUAGUCC
RNAcentral lists this ribosomal RNA (274 nucleotides) under uncultured bacterium. RNAcentral's name for it is "partial 16S ribosomal RNA". It matches the Rfam family "Archaeal small subunit ribosomal RNA", at positions 473 to 747 of the family's 1478-position model. The record is from RNAcentral.